UACGUAGGGGGCAAGCGUUGUCCGGAUUUAUUGGGCGUAAAGAGCGUGUAGGCGGUUAGGUAGGUCCGUUGUGAAAACUCGAGGCUCAACCUCGAGACGCCGAUGGAAACCAUCUGACUAGAGUCCGGAAGAGGAGAGUGGAAUUCCUGGUGUAGCGGUGAAAUGCGCAGAUAUCAGGAAGAACACCCGUGGCUAAGGCGGCUCUCUAGUACGUGACUGACGCUGAGACGCGAAAGCGUGGGGAGCGAACCGG
RNAcentral lists this ribosomal RNA (253 nucleotides) under uncultured bacterium. Its description in RNAcentral is "partial 16S ribosomal RNA". It matches the Rfam family "Bacterial small subunit ribosomal RNA", at positions 524 to 776 of the family's 1533-position model. The record is from RNAcentral.